UUAAGUUAUUAAGGGCGCACGGUGGAUGCCUUGGCACUAGAAGCCGAUGAAGGACGUUACUAACGACGAUAUGCUUUGGGGAGCUGUAAGUAAGCUUUGAUCCAGAGAUUUCCGAAUGGGGAAACCCAGCAUGAGUUAUGUCAUGUUAUCGAUAUGUGAAUACAUAGCAUAUCAGAAGGCACACCCGGAGAACUGAAACAUCUUAGUACCCGGAGGAAGAGAAAGAAAAUUCGAUUCCCUUAGUAGCGGCGAGCGAAACGGGAAGAGCCCAAACCAAAAAGCUUGCUUGUUGGGGUUGUAGGACACUCUAUACGGAGUUACAAAGGACGACAUUAGACGAAUCAUCUGGAAAGAUGAAUCAAAGAAGGUAAUAAUCCUGUAGUCGAAAAUGUUGUCUCUCUUGAGUGGAUCCUGAGUACGACGGAGCACGUGAAAUUCCGUCGGAAUCUGGGAGGACCAUCUCCUAAGGCUAAAUACUCUCUAGUGACCGAUAGUGAACCAGUACCGUGAGGGAAAGGUGAAAAGCACCCCGGAAGGAGAGUGAAAUAGAACCUGAAACCGUGUGCUUACAAGUAGUCAGAGCCCGUUAAUGGGUGAUGGCGUGCCUUUUGUAGAAUGAACCGGCGAGUUACGAUUUGAUGCAAGGUUAAGCAGUAAAUGUGGAGCCGUAGCGAAAGCGAGUCUGAAUAGGGCGUUUAGUAUUUGGUCGUAGACCCGAAACCAGGUGAUCUACCCUUGGUCAGGUUGAAGUUCAGGUAACACUGAAUGGAGGACCGAACCGACUUACGUUGAAAAGUGAGCGGAUGAACUGAGGGUAGCGGAGAAAUUCCAAUCGAACCUGGAGAUAGCUGGUUCUCUCCGAAAUAGCUUUAGGGCUAGCCUCAAGUGAUGAUUAUUGGAGGUAGAGCACUGUUUGGACGAGGGGCCCCUCUCGGGUUACCGAAUUCAGACAAACUCCGAAUGCCAAUUAAUUUAACUUGGGAGUCAGAACAUGGGUGAUAAGGUCCGUGUUCGAAAGGGAAACAGCCCAGACCACCAGCUAAGGUCCCAAAAUAUAUGUUAAGUGGAAAAGGAUGUGGCGUUGCCCAGACAACUAGGAUGUUGGCUUAGAAGCAGCCAUCAUUUAAAGAGUGCGUAAUAGCUCACUAGUCGAGUGACACUGCGCCGAAAAUGUACCGGGGCUAAACAUAUUACCGAAGCUGUGGAUUGUCCUUUGGACAAUGGUAGGAGAGCGUUCUAAGGGCGUUGAAGCAUGAUCGUAAGGACAUGUGGAGCGCUUAGAAGUGAGAAUGCCGGUGUGAGUAGCGAAAGACGGGUGAGAAUCCCGUCCACCGAUUGACUAAGGUUUCCAGAGGAAGGCUCGUCCGCUCUGGGUUAGUCGGGUCCUAAGCUGAGGCCGACAGGCGUAGGCGAUGGAUAACAGGUUGAUAUUCCUGUACCACCUAUAAUCGUUUUAAUCGAUGGGGGGACGCAGUAGGAUAGGCGAAGCGUGCGAUUGGAUUGCACGUCUAAGCAGUAAGGCUGAGUAUUAGGCAAAUCCGGUACUCGUUAAGGCUGAGCUGUGAUGGGGAGAAGACAUUGAGUCUUCGAGUCGUUGAUUUCACACUGCCGAGAAAAGCCUCUAGAUAGAAAAUAGGUGCCCGUACCGCAAACCGACACAGGUAGUCAAGAUGAGAAUUCUAAGGUGAGCGAGCGAACUCUCGUUAAGGAACUCGGCAAAAUGACCCCGUAACUUCGGGAGAAGGGGUGCUCUUUAGGGUUAACGCCCAGAAGAGCCGCAGUGAAUAGGCCCAAGCGACUGUUUAUCAAAAACACAGGUCUCUGCUAAACCGUAAGGUGAUGUAUAGGGGCUGACGCCUGCCCGGUGCUGGAAGGUUAAGAGGAGUGGUUAGCUUCUGCGAAGCUACGAAUCGAAGCCCCAGUAAACGGCGGCCGUAACUAUAACGGUCCUAAGGUAGCGAAAUUCCUUGUCGGGUAAGUUCCGACCCGCACGAAAGGCGUAACGAUUUGGGCACUGUCUCAACGAGAGACUCGGUGAAAUCAUAGUACCUGUGAAGAUGCAGGUUACCCGCGACAGGACGGAAAGACCCCGUGGAGCUUUACUGUAGCCUGAUAUUGAAAUUCGGCACAGCUUGUACAGGAUAGGUAGGAGCCUUUGAAACGUGAGCGCUAGCUUACGUGGAGGCGCUGGUGGGAUACUACCCUAGCUGUGUUGGCUUUCUAACCCGCACCAGUUAUCGUGGUGGGAGACAGUGUCAGGCGGGCAGUUUGACUGGGGCGGUCGCCUCCUAAAAGGUAACGGAGGCGCUCAAAGGUUCCCUCAGAAUGGUUGGAAAUCAUUCAUAGAGUGUAAAGGCAUAAGGGAGCUUGACUGCGAGACCUACAAGUCGAGCAGGGUCGAAAGACGGACUUAGUGAUCCGGUGGUUCCGCAUGGAAGGGCCAUCGCUCAACGGAUAAAAGCUACCCCGGGGAUAACAGGCUUAUCUCCCCCAAGAGUUCACAUCGACGGGGAGGUUUGGCACCUCGAUGUCGGCUCAUCGCAUCCUGGGGCUGUAGUCGGUCCCAAGGGUUGGGCUGUUCGCCCAUUAAAGCGGUACGCGAGCUGGGUUCAGAACGUCGUGAGACAGUUCGGUCCCUAUCCGUCGUGGGCGUAGGAAAUUUGAGAGGAGCUGUCCUUAGUACGAGAGGACCGGGAUGGACAUACCUCUGGUGUACCAGUUGUCGUGCCAACGGCAUAGCUGGGUAGCUAUGUGUGGACGGGAUAAGUGCUGAAAGCAUCUAAGCAUGAAGCCCCCCUCAAGAUGAGAUUUCCCAACUUCGGUUAUAAGAUCCCUCAAAGAUGAUGAGGUUAAUAGGUUCGAGGUGGAAGCAUGGUGACAUGUGGAGCUGACGAAUACUAAUCGAUCGAAGACUUAAUCAA
This 2921-nucleotide ribosomal RNA is filed under the name Staphylococcus aureus M0580. RNAcentral's name for it is "bacterial LSU rRNA". It matches the Rfam family "Bacterial large subunit ribosomal RNA". The record is from RNAcentral. Lineage: Bacteria; Bacillati; Bacillota; Bacilli; Caryophanales; Staphylococcaceae.